RNAcentral lists this ribosomal RNA (348 nucleotides) under Cantellius sp. ex Acropora acro1. Its description in RNAcentral is "partial 12S ribosomal RNA". The record is from RNAcentral. Lineage: Eukaryota; Metazoa; Arthropoda; Thecostraca; Balanomorpha; Pyrgomatidae.
ACUUAUAAAUAAAAAUAUUUUGGAAUAGUAGUACUAAUGAAAUUUAUCGGAUUUGGCGGCAAGAUAGCCAUUUAGAGGAACCUGCCCUAUAAACGAUGGUCCACGAUUUUACUCUACUUUUAUUUGUAAUUCAGUUUGUAUACCGCUGUUGUCAGUCAAUUUCUUUAGAAAACUUUCAUUCAUGAUAAAAUCAUUGACUUCAAGUAAAGGUGCAGCUUAUAUAAAAGACAGAGGUGGGUUACAUUUAAAGGAUUAAAACGGAUAAAGUUUAUGAAAGUAGCUUUUGAAGGUGGAUUUAAUUGUAAAGUUUUUGUAAACUUGAUGAGAGCUCUAUCUUGUGUACACACC